Molecule: non-coding RNA, 31 nt
Filed under: Homo sapiens (human)
Lineage: Eukaryota; Metazoa; Chordata; Mammalia; Primates; Hominidae
Source: RNAcentral
UGCAGAGAUCAUACCCCAGAACCAAAAGGCC